CCGAGUGCGGCCCCUUCGGGGUGCCAACCUCCCACCCGUGUCUACCGUACCACGUUGCUUCGGCGGGCCCGCCCCCAUCCUUGGGGCCGCCAUGGGGCAUCCGCCCCCGCGCGAGCGCCCGCCGGAGACCACACGAACGCUGUCUGAAGACUGCCGUCUGAGUGGAUUUUUAAAUCAGUCA
This 181-nucleotide unclassified non-coding RNA is filed under the name soil metagenome. RNAcentral's name for it is "partial internal transcribed spacer 1". The record is from RNAcentral.